Molecule: ribosomal RNA, 466 nt
Filed under: uncultured bacterium
Lineage: Bacteria
Description: partial 16S ribosomal RNA
Rfam family: Bacterial small subunit ribosomal RNA
Source: RNAcentral
GAUGAACGCUGGCGGCGUGCUUAACACAUGCAAGUCGAACGAAAAGGCCCUGCUUGCUGGGUACUUUAGUGGCGAACGGGUGAGUAACACGUGAGUAACCUGCCCUUAACUCUGGGAUAAGCCUGGGAAACUGGGUCUAAUACCGGAUAGGAGCGUCCACCGCAUGGUGGGUGUUGGAGAGAUUUCUCGGUUUUGGGUGGACUCGCGGCCUCUGAGCUUGUUGGUGGGGUAAUGGCUCACCAAGGCGACGACGGAUACCCGGCCUGAGAGGGUGACCGGCCCCAUUGGGACUGAGACACGGCCCAGACUCCUACGGGAGGCAGCAGUGGGGAAUAUUGCACAAUGGGCGAAAGCCUGAUGCAGCGACGCCGCGUGGGGGUGACGGGCCUCGGGUUGGUAACCCCCUUCGCGUAGGGAGGAGCCGUAAGUGACGGUACCUGGAGAAGAAGCACCGGCUAACUACGUG